This 485-nucleotide ribosomal RNA is filed under the name uncultured Glomeromycotina. RNAcentral describes it as "SSU rRNA". It matches the Rfam family "Eukaryotic small subunit ribosomal RNA", at positions 596 to 1081 of the family's 1831-position model. The record is from RNAcentral. Lineage: Eukaryota; Fungi; Glomeromycota.
AGCGUAUAUUAAAGUUGUUGCAGUUAAAAAGCUCGUAGUUGAAUUUCGGGAUCAAUACGUCGGUCGUGCUUUCGGGUACGUACUGGCGUCAUUGGUUUCUCCUUUCUGACGAACCAUGAUGUCAUUAAUUUGGUGUUAUGGGGAGUUAGGACUGUUACUUUGAAAAAAUUAGAGUGUUUAAAGCAGGCAUUAGCUUGAAUACAUUAGCAUGGAAUAAUGAAAUAGGACGUUCGAUCUUAUUUUGUUGGUUUCUAGGAUCAACGUAAUGAUUAAUAGGGAUAGUUGGGGGCAUUAGUAUUCAAUUGUCAGAGGUGAAAUUCUUGGAUUUAUUGAAGACUAACUACUGCGAAAGCAUUUGCCAAGGAUGUUUUCAUUAAUCAAGAACGAAAGUUAGGGGAUCGAAGACGAUCAGAUACCGUCGUAGUCUUAACCAUAAACUAUGCCGACUAGGGAUCGGAUGAUGUUAAUUUUUUAAUGACUCAUUC